CUUUUCGAUAGCUCAGUUGGUAGAGAGGAGGACUGUAGAUCCUUAGGUCGCUGGUUCAAAUCCGGCUCGAAGGA
This is a non-coding RNA of Salvelinus namaycush (lake trout), 74 nucleotides long. The record is from the annotation of a RefSeq genome assembly. NCBI's taxonomy places the organism in Eukaryota, Metazoa, Chordata, Actinopteri, Salmoniformes, Salmonidae.